This 74-nucleotide non-coding RNA is filed under the name Petrocella atlantisensis. Its description in RNAcentral is "c-di-GMP-I riboswitch aptamer". It matches the Rfam family "c-di-GMP-I riboswitch aptamer". From Rfam's summary of the family: GEMM was predicted in a large-scale screen for bacterial structured RNA regulatory elements. Genes associated with GEMM are involved in a diverse array of functions, including chemotaxis regulation, signal transduction, secretion and chitin. Lineage: Bacteria; Bacillati; Bacillota; Clostridia; Lachnospirales; Vallitaleaceae. The record is from Rfam by way of RNAcentral.
CAAUGAUAAGAGCAAACCAGUCGAAAGGCUGGGACGCAAAACUAAAGGGCCUUAAAAGGUAGCCAGUUUCCAAC